This is an RNA transcript of Orcinus orca (killer whale), 2935 nucleotides long. It is a transcript of the gene named programmed cell death 7, with no coding region annotated. The record is from RefSeq and is a predicted model, not a curated record. NCBI's taxonomy places the organism in Eukaryota, Metazoa, Chordata, Mammalia, Artiodactyla, Delphinidae. The transcript is spliced from 6 exons.
CUUUCGCUGGGAACCACUCAGAUUCCUGUCACUUCUCAGAAUCCCUCCGUGGUGGCCAUGGCUCUGCCUCCGUUCUUCACCCCGGGUCGCCCGGGCCCGCCGCUCCCGCAGCCGCCGGCUCCCGCUCCCUUCGGCUGUCCGCCACCGCCGCUACCCUCUCCGGCUUUCCCACCGCCUCUUCCCCAGCGGCCUGGUCCCUUUCCGGGGGCCUCCGCCCCCUUUCUCCAGCCCCCGCUGGCUCUGCAGCCCCGGGCCCCCGGGGAAGCCUCCCGCGGGGGCGGGGGCGGGGGCGGCGGCGGCGGCUCCUUCUACCAGGUGCCGCCACCGCCGCUCCCUCCCCCGCCGCCCCAGUGCCGGCCCUUCCUAGGGAACGACCCCGGUGAACGCCCGCGGCCGCCGCCUCCAGGCCCGGGGCCGCCCUGGAGCCCGCGCUGGCCUGAAGCACCGCCGCCGUCCGACGUGCUUGGGGACGCGGCCCUGCAGCGCCUGCGCGACCGGCAGUGGCUAGAGGCGGUGUUCGGAACCCCGCGGCGGGCCUGCCCGGUGCCCCCGCGCGCGCCCGCCGGCCCCAACCUGGGCGAGGUUCGGGCUCGGUUGCGCGGGUCCCUGCGCCUGGUGCGGCGGCUGCGCGACCUGGGCCAUGCGCUGCGCGAGGCCGAGGCUGACGGCGUGGCCUGGGCACAGCUGCAUGCGGAGGCACAGCCGCUGCGCGCCGAGCUGUCCGAGCGACUUCAGCUCCUGACCCAGGCAGCCUAUGUGGGCGAGGCGCGGCGCAGGCUGGAGAGGGUCCGGCGCCGCCGGCUGCGGCUUCGCGAGAGGGCCCGGGAACGCGAGGCCGAGCUGGAGGCGGAGGCCACGCGGGCAGCGGAGCGCGAGCAGGAGAUUGACCGCUGGAGGGUCAAGUGCGUGCAGGAGGUGGAGGAGAAGAAGCGGGAGCAGGAACUUAAAGCUGCUGCUGAUGGUGUCCUAUCUGAAGUGAGGAAAAAACAAGCAGACACCAAAAGAAUGGUGGACAUUCUUCGGGCCUUGGAGAAAUUGAGGAAACUCAGGAAAGAGGCUGCAGCAAGGAAAGGGGUCUGUCCUCCAGCCUCAGCAGAUGAGACCUUUGAGCAUCACCUUCAGCGACUGAGAAAACUCAUUAAAAAACGCUCUGAAUUAUAUGAAGCUGAAGAGAGAGCCCUCAGAGUUAUGUUGGAAGGAGAACAAGAGGAAGAGAGGAAAAGAGAAUUAGAGAAGAAACAGAGGAAAGAAAAAGAGAAAUUUUUACUACAGAAGCGUGAAAUUGAGUCCAAGUUAUUUGGGGAUCCAGAUGAGUUCCCACUUGCUCACCUCUUGCAGCCUUUCCGGCAGUAUUACCUCCAGGCUGAGCACUCCCUGCCAGCACUCAUCCAGAUAAGUUCCUUAUGAGUUUAUAGAAUGUUUCCAAGUUUGAAGCAUGCCACACACGUCUUGUUUAGUCCUCAUCAGUUCUUGAGAAGUAGAUGUCCCUAUUUUAACAGGUGAAGACACUGAAACUCAGGUUGUGACUUGCCCUCUGUAUUAUCCCAUGCUAUAGCUGUUAUGUUGACUUAAAUCAUUGACUUCCUUUUCCUAAUUCUCUUCUGCUGCUAAACAGACCAAGGAAAAGAAACCCUCCCUGUAUACUCACCUGUGGAGACUGUUAACAAAGACCCACACUGACUUGUGAGUUCUUACACGUCAAAGCCAAGAGAGCUAGGAACAAGGAGUCUCACCUUAAUCUGCAGUUACUAAUGAGCUAGGCAUGAUUGGGAUCAGUACCUGGUGCCAUCUGAUCAUCCCAAAGGCAACUCCGUUCCCCAAGGAUGGGUUCUUCCCCCGCUCCCCAGCAACGACAUCUGGGCAACCGCCAUUAAGCUGCAUUAGUAAAGAUGCUCCAGGAGUGUCGUCCAGCCAAGGCUCUUUCCAGCUCUAAGUAUUAGUGACGCUGCCAUCUUCUUGUACUGUAGUAUAAAUCACAACCUCUAAACUCCACGUGGCAUUGCCCUACCCAGAAGUUACGUUUUCCUUCUGUCCUCUGUCCUGGCCAAGGUGCCUCUUGAAUCAGGAGAUUAAUAUGGUUCCUCAGGAAAGGACCUAGGUGAACUGAGGUUUUUACAACAGGCAGUGGCCUUGGUUCAUGAAAUUCGCCUCUGUUUUGAGGGGCUUGGUCCAGAUUGAUUUAUAAGUUUACUUUUAUCUUUCUUGUGUGGUGAUAGAUAAGUAUACGCUAUACACUCAUACCCUCGACACAGGUGUGCACUGGGUAGAUUUAGCAGUCCCUUCCCCAGUACUCCUUGUUAAAGCAAGCUUGAUGCAAAACCUCCUUACCUUUCUUACCCAGAGAGCCUCCUAACUUCCAGGAAGAAAGGCCAGAAAUGCUUUAUCUUCAGUUUUGUGAAUCCCACUUUUGGUGCAGCUGGAGAGGCUGGGCUGCCAGAAAAGCUGGUGGCCUUGUCUGGUAGUCAAGUGGAGAACUUGGAAAACCUGAAGAGUACCUGUACCCAAACUGGAUUGUGUUUUAAUGGCGGAUGGCUGCAUUUUCCCCAUAUUAGAAGGAUCCUAAUGAAAGCACCUGCUUUUUAAGUUCCUAGAGGUCUGGUUGUUCAGAAUCUGCAAGGAUAAAAAUUAAUUUCCUUAUGGGAGUGGGACCUUGAUUAACCUCACUCAGUCACAUUGUGGGAGCUGGUAUAGUGGAAAUUGUGGAAUUUUCUUAGGAACUCAAGCUUCCAAAAAUAUACAUGUAAUUUAAGCUGGGGGAAAAGCAGAUAAAAAUAAUAAAAUUUAUUUUUUUAUACUCAUUAAUAAAUGCUGUUGUGCCUGGAGAUGAUCAGUCAUAUAACAUGUCAGGUUUUUUGUUUUAUUUUGUUUUCCUUUUUGCCAUUUAUUGUGUUAUUUAUAUUUCCAAAAAGCUAAAUAAAUAUCAUUUUUAGUUUGA